This 601-nucleotide ribosomal RNA is filed under the name Micromonospora sp. I08A-00454. Its description in RNAcentral is "bacterial SSU rRNA". It matches the Rfam family "Bacterial small subunit ribosomal RNA", at positions 78 to 696 of the family's 1533-position model. Lineage: Bacteria; Bacillati; Actinomycetota; Actinomycetes; Micromonosporales; Micromonosporaceae. The record is from RNAcentral.
CUUCGGGGUACUCGAGCGGCGAACGGGUGAGUAACACGUGAGCAACCUGCCCCAGGCUUUGGGAUAACCCCGGGAAACCGGGGCUAAUACCGAAUAUGACCUCCGAUCGCAUGGUUGGUGGUGGAAAGUUUUUCGGCUUGGGAUGGGCUCGCGGCCUAUCAGCUUGUUGGUGGGGUGAUGGCCUACCAAGGCGACGACGGGUAGCCGGCCUGAGAGGGCGACCGGCCACACUGGGACUGAGACACGGCCCAGACUCCUACGGGAGGCAGCAGUGGGGAAUAUUGCACAAUGGGCGGAAGCCUGAUGCAGCGACGCCGCGUGAGGGAUGACGGCCUUCGGGUUGUAAACCUCUUUCAGCAGGGACGAAGCGUAAGUGACGGUACCUGCAGAAGAAGCGCCGGCCAACUACGUGCCAGCAGCCGCGGUAAGACGUAGGGCGCGAGCGUUGUCCGGAUUUAUUGGGCGUAAAGAGCUCGUAGGCGGCUUGUCGCGUCGACCGUGAAAACCUGGGGCUCAACCCCAGGCCUGCGGUCGAUACGGGCAGGCUAGAGUUCGGUAGGGGAGACUGGAAUUCCUGGUGUAGCGGUGAAAUGCGCAGAUA